Molecule: long non-coding RNA, 7009 nt
Filed under: Phaseolus vulgaris (common bean)
Lineage: Eukaryota; Viridiplantae; Streptophyta; Magnoliopsida; Fabales; Fabaceae
Description: long non-coding RNA (PVUL_LNC003234)
Source: RNAcentral
UUUACAUGGUCCAGUCGCAAGUAUAUCCCAAGAACAUCUAUUGCGGUGACCAUAUUCAUCUCUUUCUUCUAUAUAUAUGUCAAAAUAAUGAUCUCCUCCCAACCAUACAAAACGACAAAAGUACAGGGUCGCAUUAAUAAAAUAGUUAGGAUAAAACUUGAAACUAAAUGUUUGACCAACAUUGAGUUGUUGGAACCCUAGAUCACGGUGUUUAUCUUUGCAUCGAAGACCCAAAUAUCUUUCUACUAAGCGAUUAGUUAUAUCAACAGUCACUUUAGUUGGAAGAAAAGGAGCACCACCACCCUCACUCUCACCACACUCGAAUUGCACACCAACAAAUAUUACUAAGAACAAACAAACUAUUGCUCUCAUUUUAGACAUUAAAACCAUCAUUGCUCAAUUGUUUGAUAUUGUUUCUAAAGUUUGAGCUUCUUGUAAACAAAAUUAGGUAAGCACACCUAUAUAUACUACUUACAUAUUUUCUAACAAUUUAACAUCAGUGUUUAGAAUCUAUCUGCAAGCAAUAAAAGAAAAUAAAAAGCAGUUGAUUACCAAGUUUUCCCAUAACCAAGUUUUCCCAUCAUUAAAUUCUUCAAAGGUUCUCUAAAGAUCAAUUUUUUCCCAAUCCUCCAAUAGAGCUAAACCAAAUUGAACAUACAUCAAUCUAAUUCUGAAACUCACUCGAGUAAAGCAUGUGUGUCUACUAGUUUAAUCAACACCCACUUUGUUCCAUGUGUAUAAUCCAUGGGAUUGCUUAUCUCCUCCCUCUUGAAUCAUGUCCAAGGAUGUUGGAAAAUUAUUGUAGUUUAGAUUUUGUUAACAAUUUCCAACUUUCUAAAAUUCUUGUAUUUUGUAGAAGAUUUGCUUCCAAUGUUUAUGAGAUAUUGUAGAUUUAUUUUCUUUUUUCUUCUCUCAAUAUUUGUUUUCUGAUUUGGUUCAAGAAGCAACUACGUAUUUUUUUUCUAUUUGGCCCAUUUACAAAGGGAAAUACUUCCUCUAGAUAAUUUACUCUAAAAUCACAAAAUUAACAAAAAAAAUAACAAUUAAAACCCAAAUAAAUCUAAUUAUAUGAAUAUUAAUUAAAAUAAUAAAUUUAUUUAUUAUUAUAAUCAAUAAUUCAUUAUUAAAACUAUUGAAUGUAAAUAAAUAUAAUUAAUACUAAUUAAUACUAUUAAUGAUAACUAUAGUAACAUUAAUAUGAUUACGUAACCCAUUUACGAUUUCAACGCUCAUUGGAUUGCAAAAUUGAAACGUUUAAUUAAUUGUAAUUCUUUAAUGGUAACGUAUAAGAAAACGUACGGAGCAAUUAAUGCAAAAAAACAAUUCCUAAAAUCAACCACUAAUUAACAUUAAUUUCAAAUUCCAUUAAUAAUAACAGAAUUAACACACAUAAUCUAAAACACGCCUUGUUAAAAUAUUGUAAUUUAUAUGAUUAUUUAAUAUCCAUUAGUAUAUUGUUUAUAAUUUUAAUAUUGUUGAAGAGGUCACCUUAAUUAAAUUAAUUAAAUUGAGUAAUAUAAUUAUUUUAAAAAAUAUUUAGUAUAUUCAUAUAACAUGAGAUAUUCCAUUAAAUAAAUAAAUAAUUCAUCUAAAUAAAUAAGGGAUUUAAGCAAGCAAACGUAAAAGUGUUAAACAAUAGUAAAUUAUUCAUAACUAUUUACAUUAGUUGGUAGAAAAAGUACAGAAACUUACAUGUGCACUUAGUAUAUAUAGGUCUAUUUACCUUACUUUCAAUACAAGAAAUUCAAAAUUUAGACAUCAUGAUGAUUUUAGUGUCCAAAAUUACAGCAAUACUUUGUUUAUUGUUAACAAUAUUUUUUGGUGUGCAAUUAAAGUGUGGUGAGAGUAUUGCUCCUAUUCUUUCCACUAGAGUGACCGUUGAAAUAACUAAUCGCUUAGUAGAUAGAUAUUUAGCUGUUCAAUGCAAAGAUAAACACAAUGAUUUCGGGGUGCAACAAUUUAAUGUUGGUGAAACAUUUAGUUUUAGGUUUUUUCCUAAGUAUUAUUAUCCUUCUACCUUGUUUUUUUUUGUCAUUUUAUAUGGUUGGAAGGAGAUCAUUAUUUUGAUAUAUAUGUCCAAAACCAAGAUGGAUUCUGUCAUCAAAAUAAGUGUGUUUGGGACAUAGUUGUCAAAGGACCAUGUAAGAUGAAUACGGGACUUCGAGAUCAAAUUAACUUCUUCCGACCAUAAUCUAUAAGGAUAUGAUUAGCAGACUACCAAUUCAUUCCCAAUAUAACCUCCAAAUCUUUUAGAGGUAUAUAAUUCAUGUUGAUUUUGUAUCUAUGCUCAUCUAUAAUUACUGGACACUCAGCACACAUGGAAGAAGUUACUAUAAUACCUUGUGUUGGUGUAGAUACCACCAACUCAAUUUCUAACUCUCGGACUGGCAACUUAAGUUUCCUAGCACAAUCAAAAGAUAUAAAAGAAUGGGUUGCCCUAGAAUCAAACAAUACAGAUAAUGUGUUCCAAGGAUAGAACAAAUACCUCUAACAAGGCUAUCGAACUGCGAAGCUUUAGCUCCACUAAUGGCAAAAACUCUAGCAGUAGCUCUAGGUUUGUGAUUAUUAUUUGGGACUGGAAGUCUGUCACGACAGUCCUUCGUAGCAUGACCAUAUCUAUGGCAUCUAACACAUGUAAUGUUUGGCACUGGAUGAGGACAAAAUUUAACUAUGUGUUCCCCACCACAUCUAAAACAUUUGACAUUUGGUAGCAACUGAGAAGUAGGCCCUCCACUCCUGAAGGAUUGAGGUCUGGAAUAAGGCUUCUUUUUAUCUUCAUAUUUGGGUGUGCUUCUAGAAGGUCCUCCCACUUGAGGCUUAGAAAGUCUGCUACUACUUUUCAAACUCUCCACUACUUUUGCUUUCUCCACUAGAACAGGGAAAUCUCUAAUAGACAUAGGAAUCACCACUUCUUUAAGCUCUUGCUUCAACCCAAACUCAAAUUUUCUACAUCUUCAAGCCUCAGUAGCUAGGUGUUUGAACCUAGUAGCAUAUUCAGUGACUGAAAGAUUUCCUUGUUCCAAUUGCAUGAAUUCAAUUUCUUUUGCAUAUCUGACACUAUCAGGAAAAUACUCCUCUAGGAAUCUUACUUUGAAGUUCUCCCAAGUGGCAUCUUCUCCUCUGUCUUCCAUCAUUUGUUUCAUGCCUAUCCACCAGAAUUCAGCUUCUUCAGUUAGUACAUAAAUGGCAUAGGAUAACUUUCUCUCUUCAGGGCAUUGAGUAGCUUCAAAGAUUCUUUCUAUGUCUCUCACCCACUGGUCUGCUUCAUCUGGAUUUACCUUCCCAUUAAACUUGGGGGGAUUGUGUCUCAGAAAAUCUUCCAAACUAAAGUUAUGGGGUUGUUGAUGAAGUUGAGACGCUUCAGCUGCUAAUCUAGUUGUUUCUAAUUGAUGAAGGCGGCUUGAUGUUGUUGUGCCAUAGUAGCACUCUGUUGUUGCAAGGCUGUUGUCAUCAUCUCUAUUGCCCGAGCUAAGUUGGGCAUAUCUACUGGUGGAGGAGGAGUAUGUGGUCUACGUGCCAUCUACUAAGCACAUAAAGAAUUGGGUUAAAAAUUACUAAAUAUUUCCAACUACAUCUUUAAGACAAAUUAACUUAAAAGAAUUACUCAUAGACUUAUAUUCAAAGUAAUAUUAAUAAUUAAUAUUAAUAUUAAUUAUAAUAUUAUUAUUAUUAUUAAAUUAUGAAUACUAAUAUGUAGGUCCACAUCUUGACAAGAGUGUUAAAUUAUUUUAGAAAAUUUUGAUUUAAUUAGUUUUAAUUUAAUUUUUAUUGGAACUUUAAUUAUAUAUAUAUGUAUAAUCUUUAUUUCAAAUGGUAAAUCCUAUCAUUCAAGGAUUCUAUUUUAUUAUGAUUAAAAGCAGUAGAAUUUUAAAGAUUUUACCAAUUUAUGUAUAUACAUUGAAUGUAGAAAAUGAGAAAGAAUAAGAAUUAUUUUUUUAUUAUUGAGAAAUUUUAACAAAAUUUUCAGAGAUAAUUAGUUUGAUAAGUAUGUCGCAAUUUUUCUCGUUAUAUAUUAAAAAAAUAAUUUUUCUCUAAUCAUACAAAAUGAUAAAAGCACAAUAUUGUAGCUAAAAAUAUUUAAGAUAAAACUUAAAACUAUAUGCUUAGUCAACAAACGUUUUUUUUUUAUCUUUGCAUUGAAAAAAGUCAAAUAUACUUCAAUUACACAAAAAAAAAAUAUAAAAUAGUGUCAUAAUUUUAGACAUUAAAAUCAUCUUAAUUGUUUGAUAUUCUUCCUUUAAAGCUUGAACUUCUUGUGAACAAAAUCAGGUAGAUACAACUAUAUAUACUAAUAUAUAUAUUAAGUACAUACUUUAAAUAAUAAUAAAAAUAAAUAAAUAAGAUUUCUAAUAAUAUUAAUAAUAUUAACAAUAACAAUAUAAUAUUAUAUGAAUGAUACUAUUCAUUUUAUUAUUAUUAUUAUUAUUAUUAAUAUAUUAUUAUAAUUAUUACUAUUAAAAUAUUAAUAUUACUUUGAAAGAAUUAUAUUCUAGUUGAAAAUGGAAAACACUUAAUGCUUUAUUAAGAUUAACAGUAGCAAAAAUUUAAAAUUAUCUUGCUAAUUUAUUUAUCUAUACUAAAUGUAUGUAUAUAAGAAGAAAGAAUAAGAAUUAUUUUUUUAUUCUCUUAAAGUGUUUUUCAUUUUUGUUUGAAUAUAAUUCUCUUAAAUAUAUAUUUUUUGUUUGAAUAUAAUUCUUUUAAAUAUAUAAUUGGAUUGAAAUAUUAUCUUCGAUAUUAUGAUAUUUAAUUAAUAUAAAUUUUAUGUUCUAACAUUUUUGAAUAAAUCUAACCUAUUAAUAUAAAAAUAUGUUUUUUCUUCAAAUAAAUUCAUACAAACAUUAUGCAAUAUUAUGAUUAGUGUAUAAUGUUCACAGUAGUGUUCAUUGUAGCGUAAAAUAUGUGAUAUUAUUUCAAAUAUUUCACAACCUAGAUGAUUUAUUAUUUUUAUUGAUUAUUGUAAAAGGAUAAAAUGACUUUUUCUCAUAAAAGAAAAAAUCUUAGGUAAAUUUUGUUGUUACGCAAAUUGUGUCUCUGAUUACAAAUCAAUUUACAAAUUUACACUAUAAGAAAAUUAUUAAAUAGAAAUCAAUUUUAGAGACAAAAAAAUAUUUAGUUGUUAUAUUGACUAAAUUAAAAACCGUUUUAUAGACUAUAAAAUUUUUUGGUUUCUAAAAUAAUUUUUAUUAUUGUUAAAUAGUUUCUAAAUUUGUAUCUAAUUAGCCACAAAGUUUUGGUAGCAAAAACUUUGGUAGUUAAUUAGAUACCAAUUUAUAAAUUAUUUAACAAUAAUAGAAACUAUUUUAGAAAAAAAAAAUUAGUCUCUAAUUUAGUUGCUAUAGUAAGUAAUUAUUUUUUGUCUCUAAAAUUGGUUUCUAUUUAAUGAAUUUUUUAUAGUGUUAGGAUGGUUAUUAAGAAAUUUAGGAUGAAUCAUUAAUCAUCAUGUGUUUAUACACCCUCAACAAAAUGGAGUUAUUGAACGAAAAAAUUGAAAUAUUAUAGAAUAAACUAUAACUUCUCUUUUAAACUAAUGUUCCAAAAAGAUUUUAAAGAGAAUAAUUCUCACUAUCACUUAUUUAAUUAUCAUGUUCAAACAAUAAAUGAGAAACUUAUCCAAGAACACUUAAAUGCAUUUUCUUAGAUACUAUGUAAAAAAAAAUGUUUCUUAGGAUACUAUGUCACAAAAAAAAUGUAUAAAUGUUUUCAUCCUUCUUCCAAUUUUUUGGUAUCACAUGUAUAAAAGUUAGUUAUUUUCAUCAUCAUCAUUUGGGAAUGGGAAAUGAUGAACAUGUGGAUUAUUUUAUAUUUUCCAAUCUUGUUUUUUAAAAGAUAAAGGAGUAAUAUCAUAGCAGUGAAACUAAAACUAUUGAGAGAAAAAUGAGUGAUAUCAUUAUUAAUAUUAUUAUUAUUAAUAUUAUUAAGAAUAUUAAGAAUAUAGAUGUAUAGAUAAAUUAUUACGAAUUUGUUUUCAUAUAUAAUAUUAAUAAUAAUAUUGUUAAUGUAUAAUAACAAUAUUAAUAUAAAUAAUAAUAUUAAUAUGAUAUUAUUGUUAUUAGUAUUAUCGUUAAUAUCGAUAUUAUUAUUGUUAUUGUUAUUUUGUGGACAACAUAGAUGAUGGAUUGAAUUUGGUUAUGGGUCUUGUUAUAUAUUUGUCAGUAAUAAUAAGUAUGUAAUGAUUAAUUUAAUUGUGGAUAUAGAUAUGUGGAUAAUUUAUUUAUGUAUAUAGAUAAAUUUAUGUAUAUAUUCAAUGGUAAUCAUCCAGAUCUAAUGUUUAAUUUACUUAUAGAUUUUAUAUUUAUUUGUAGUAGUUCAUUGGGAAAAUUUUAAAAUUUAUUGUAGUGAAUAAUUUUGAAAAAUUUAUAGUCCAACUGGAAAUGAAAAACUCGUGUUCACCAAUUUCAGAGGAAGUGUUAAAUUUUUUUAGGAUAUUUCAUAUGUGUAUUUUCCUAGUUUUAGUUGUACCAUAUUAGUUUUUUAUUUAGUUUGUAUUGGAGUUUUUAUUUUAUAUAUUUUAUCUUUAUUUCAAAUUAUAAAUCUUAUAAUUUAAGGGUAUUAUUUUAUUAAAAUUAAAAGUGAUAGAAUUCCAAAAAUAUUUUACUUAUUUAUCUAUAUAUAUUCAAUAUAUGUAGGUAAUGAGAAAUAGUAAGAAUUAUUGUCUUUUAUUAUUGAGAAAUAUUCAUAAAUUAUUAGGAAAGAUGAAAAUGUUACAUAAAUAAAGUAUUAUUACUUUUUUUGAGAAGCAAUCUUUUUCUUGCAGCAGGUGAAGUCCAUUUAAAGCACUGUUGAGGUCCUGGGUUGUAUUUACAUGGUCCAGUUGCAAAUAUAUCCCAAGAACAUCUAUUGUGGUGACCAUAUUCAUCUCUUUCUUCGACAUAUAUGUCAAAAUGAUGAUCUCCUCCCGACCAUACAAAAUGACAAAAGUACAAGGUCGCAUUAAUAAAAUAGUUAGGAUAAAACCUGAAACUAAAUGUUUGACCAACAUUGAGUUGCUGCAACCCUAGAUCAUGGUGUU